GACGAACGCUGGCGGCGUGCUUAACACAUGCAAGUCGAACGGAAAGGCCCUGCUUUUGUGGGGUGCUCGAGUGGCGAACGGGUGAGUAACACGUGAGUAACCUGCCCUUGACUUUGGGAUAACUUCAGGAAACUGGGGCUAAUACCGGAUAGGAGCUCCUGCUGCAUGGUGGGGGUUGGAAAGUUUCGGCGGUUGGGGAUGGUCUCGCGGCUUAUCAGCUUGUUGGUGGGGUAGUGGCUUACCAAGGCUUUGACGGGUAGCCGGACUGGGAGGGUGACCGGCAACAUAGGGACGGAGAUACGGCCCAGACUCAUACGGGAGGCAGCAGGGGGGAAUAUUGCACAAUGGGCGGAAGCGUGAUGCAGCAACGCCGCGUGGGGGAUGACGGCCUUCGGGUUGUAAACCGCUUUCGCCUGUGACGAAGCGUGAGUGACGGUAAUGGGUAAAGAAGCACCGGCUAACUACGU
This 467-nucleotide ribosomal RNA is filed under the name uncultured bacterium. RNAcentral's name for it is "partial 16S ribosomal RNA". It matches the Rfam family "Bacterial small subunit ribosomal RNA", at positions 28 to 506 of the family's 1533-position model. The record is from RNAcentral.